Microcebus murinus (gray mouse lemur) is the source of this 1825-nucleotide non-coding RNA. The record is from RefSeq and is a predicted model, not a curated record. NCBI's taxonomy places the organism in Eukaryota, Metazoa, Chordata, Mammalia, Primates, Cheirogaleidae.
GACACACAGGGGCUCAGUGUGAGCCUGUCACUGAAGACACUUGAUCUCCUAACUUGCCUUCUGCCAGGGUCCCACCCUGUGCUAUUCUACCUAAUGCCACCCAAGCACCCUGCGCAUCCACCUCUGAGCCCUGACUCUGAGGGUCUUCUCUAGAGCACCUCUGGCCUCCCGUCUCCUGGAGCCUCCCAAGCCCAGAACAGUGAUGCUCAGCCGGCCCCACCUUCAUCUGGGCCACACACGGCCAUCGAGACAUCCCUUCUUCCACAGCAUAACUCCAGAGCACCUUCAGCUGUACCCACGUGUCUUUGGUUUUACACAGCAAAAUGGUAACAGUGUCUGCGCUGGGGAGAGGACCAGAGUUGGGCAGGUGGCCAGUAGAGAGCGCCUUUAGCUUUAUCCGUGACCUCUGCACUGCUUGGCGAGAGUGUGUUCCUGUGAGACUGUAUCUGCAUAAUCAAAACAGACACUUGCAAGGGUUAGAGGCCGGUCAGUUCCUGUUCGGAAGGAUUUCAGAGCCGUGGUUCUCAAACUCUGCACUAGAAUCACCCGAGGAACGUGCAAUGCCCAGACCUCCUGAAUGAGGACCGCGUAUACACGGUUCCUGGAAUUCUGGCAGGAGGCGGCCACCUGUGGAAACGCCCAGUGGGUGCUUGGGGGUUUGCUCCAGCUUGCUCAAGUUGCAUUCAGGAGCAGCCCUGGCAGAGCUGAGCCCGGGCUGGGGGCAUCUGGCCCUGGGACACCUCGACCAGGCCCUGCCUGUUUUACAUCUACCCGGUAGCUGCUACAGCCCUGGGCACCAUGGCGCUGGCCACAGCCUCUGAGCCAGUCUGGCCCAUACCUGUGGAAGGGGCCCAGCACCCCUCCUCGUACCACAGGGGAGGAAGCCCUGCCCAGGCUCCUGCAGUAACAGCGCUCAGUGAAACCACACAGCCCCCUCCCCGGCAGGCUGACCGCGCUCACUCGGGCUGCCACCUUCCUCCUGCCUCAGAUCCUUUACUCGCUGCCCUUCCACUGGGCUCUGUGCUGCCCCCAUGCCCUGUAGGUGCCUGAAAAUGCUACUUUUAGCCUCAGUCCUACAUACCAGCCACUCAAUACCCUUGUCAACACCCACCUCCUUCUCUGGGCUUGCUGUCACCUAAUUUACCUACUCAAAGAGCUUGCUUCAAAGGGGAACUUCUCUCCCCAAAUAAAAUAUAAAAAUCUGGAAAUUAAGGAGCAGUGUCAGGGCAUGAUCUAUUUUGUCUGAGCAAACAGGGCUCCCAUCCCCUGCUUCAACAAGAGUGUCCACUGUCCCCUCUGUUAUGCGUUUCCAGCUGCCAUUUGAAUAAAGGGUUCCUCCACUUAGGGAAAAAAAGCUUUGAAAACUGCAUUCUGAUUCAACGCUGUUAUCUGAAAGACACACUGCACUCCUAUUCUGGUUCAUCGUUCACCUACUGUUCAUUACUCGAUACCCUAGUACGUGCAGGUGCUGGGGAAGGGCCAUCACAGCAACACACAGUCCCUUGCCCCGGGGAGGACCACCUGAGCGCACAGGUGCAGGGCAGGUCUCCAGGACAAGGCUGGCCGCCCCACUUCUCAGGAUUCUGCACACCCUACAAUAGCCUUUCUCAAUCUCAGGUUCCUCAGUAUCUGCUCUGCCCUUCCCACAAGUCCCAGAGUAGUCUCAGGCCAUAGUGAUGGCUCCGAAGGGACAUGGAGAACAGGGAGUGGCUUAGGCAUUCCCUGGGUGUCAGAACCUGGGUCUGGGCCUGGCGUCAGGGGACUCCUGACACCAUAUGCCCUCACCAGGUGAAGGUGGGGAAGGUCCUGGCCCGCCCCCACCCUG